GGGGUUGUAGCUCAGUGGUAGGGUGCUUGCCUCACAGGCAUGAGGCACCAGGUUCGAUCCUCAGCACCA
This 69-nucleotide transfer RNA is filed under the name Marmota marmota marmota (Alpine marmot). It matches the Rfam family "tRNA". From Rfam's summary of the family: Transfer RNA (tRNA) molecules are approximately 80 nucleotides in length. Their secondary structure includes four short double-helical elements and three loops (D, anti-codon, and T loops). Further hydrogen bonds mediate the characteristic L-shaped molecular structure. tRNAs have two regions of fundamental functional importance: the anti-codon, which is responsible for specific mRNA codon recognition, and the 3' end, to which the tRNAs corresponding amino acid is attached (by aminoacyl-tRNA synthetases). tRNAs cope with the degeneracy of the genetic code in two manners: having more than one tRNA (with a specific anti-codon) for a particular amino acid; and 'wobble' base-pairing, i.e. permitting non-standard base-pairing at the 3rd anti-codon position. Lineage: Eukaryota; Metazoa; Chordata; Mammalia; Rodentia; Sciuridae. RNAcentral also lists the same sequence under 3 other names. The record is from Rfam by way of RNAcentral.